This 497-nucleotide ribosomal RNA is filed under the name uncultured bacterium. RNAcentral describes it as "bacterial SSU rRNA". It matches the Rfam family "Bacterial small subunit ribosomal RNA", at positions 1 to 507 of the family's 1533-position model. The record is from RNAcentral.
ACACGACUACGAGUUUGACCUGGCUCAGGAUGAACGCUGGCGGCGUGCCUAAUACAUGCAAGUCGAACGAGGUGCUUUUGUAGCAAUACGAAAGUAUCCUAGUGGCGAACGGGUGAGUAACGCGUUGGUGACCUACCCCAAAGUGUGGGAUAACAGUUCGAAAGAACUGCUAAUACCGCAUGUGGUUAUCGGAUUUAGAAACUGAUAACUAAAGGAGCAAUUCGCUUUGGGAGGGACCUGCGUCCCAUCAGCUAGUUGGUGAGGUAAUGGCUCACCAAGGCUACGACGGGUAGGGGACCUGAGAGGGUGACCCCCCACAAUGGAACUGAAACACGGUCCAUACACCUACGGGUGGCAGCAGUAGGGAAUAUUGCACAAUGGGCGAAAGCCUGAUGCAGCAACGCCGCGUGUGCGAUGAAGGCCCUCGGGUCGUAAAGCACUUUUCUGAGAGAUGAGCAAGGACAGUAUCUCAGGAAUAAGUCUCGGCUAACUACGUG